GAGCUGCACCAGAAGGCACGGGAGUGCAUCUACAUGAACUUUGCUGAGGUCUCCAAGCAGGAAGAAUUCCUGGCCCUGUCCCACUGCCAGCUGGUGACCCUGGUGACCCUGGUGGCCCCAGGGGGGUAUCAGGACUGUUCUUGGGGUGGUCCCUCACCCCGUUUUCCCCAUUGCAGGUCUCCAAGCAGGAGGAGUUCCUGGCCCUGUCCCACUACCAGGACUGGUUUUAGGGUGGUCCCUCACUCCCGUUUCCCCAAUCCCACAGGUCUCCAAGCAGGAAGAAUUCCUGGCCCUGUCCCACUGCCAGCUGGUGACCCUGGUGACCCUGGUGGGGUAUCAGGACUGUUCUUGGGGUGGUCCCUCACCCCCUUCUCCCCAUUGCAGGUCUCGAAGCAGGAAGAAUUCCUGGCCCUGUCCCACUGCCAGCUGGU
Neopelma chrysocephalum (saffron-crested tyrant-manakin) is the source of this 431-nucleotide long non-coding RNA. RefSeq lists it as uncharacterized. NCBI's taxonomy places the organism in Eukaryota, Metazoa, Chordata, Aves, Passeriformes, Pipridae. The record is from RefSeq and is a predicted model, not a curated record. The transcript has 3 exons.